RNAcentral lists this ribosomal RNA (253 nucleotides) under uncultured bacterium. RNAcentral describes it as "partial 16S ribosomal RNA". It matches the Rfam family "Bacterial small subunit ribosomal RNA", at positions 524 to 776 of the family's 1533-position model. The record is from RNAcentral.
UACAGAGGUCUCAAGCGUUGUUCGGAUUCAUUGGGCGUAAAGAGCUCGUAGGCGGUCUGUUGCGUCGGCUGUGAAAACCCGAGGCUCAACCUCGGGCCUGCAGCCGAUACGGGCAGACUAGAGUUCGGCAGGGGAGACUGGAAUUCCUGGUGUAGCGGUGAAAUGCGCAGAUAUCGUAAGGAAGACCAGUGGCGAAGGCGAGUCUCUGGACAGCAACUGACGCUGAGGCACGAAGGCCAGGGGAGCAAACGGG